This is a transfer RNA of 89 nucleotides. It matches the Rfam family "tRNA". From Rfam's summary of the family: Transfer RNA (tRNA) molecules are approximately 80 nucleotides in length. Their secondary structure includes four short double-helical elements and three loops (D, anti-codon, and T loops). Further hydrogen bonds mediate the characteristic L-shaped molecular structure. tRNAs have two regions of fundamental functional importance: the anti-codon, which is responsible for specific mRNA codon recognition, and the 3' end, to which the tRNAs corresponding amino acid is attached (by aminoacyl-tRNA synthetases). tRNAs cope with the degeneracy of the genetic code in two manners: having more than one tRNA (with a specific anti-codon) for a particular amino acid; and 'wobble' base-pairing, i.e. permitting non-standard base-pairing at the 3rd anti-codon position.
GGAGUGGUGGCCGAACGGGAAGGCGUCGAUCUGCUACGUCGAUAAGUCGCGAAGGCGACGAGCGCGUUCGACUCGCGCCCACUCCGCCA